CCUACGGGGGGCAGCAGUGAGGAAUAUUGGUCAAUGGACGAGAGUCUGAACCAGCCAAGUAGCGUGAAGGAUGACUGCCCUAUGGGUUGUAAACUUCUUUUAUAUGGGAAUAAAAUGUUCCACGUGUGGGAUUUUGUAUGUACCAUAUGAAUAAGGAUCGGCUAACGUCGUGCCAGCAGCCGCGGUAAUACGGAGGAUCCGAGCGUUAUCCGGAUUUAUUGGGUUUAAAGGGAGCGUAGGUGGAUUGUUAAGUCAGUUGUGAAAGUUUGCGGCUCAACCGUAAAAUUGCAGUUGAAACUGGCAGUCUGGAGUACAGUAGAGGUGGGCGGAAUUCGUGGUGUAGCGGUGAAAUGCUUAGAUAUCACGAAGAACUCCGAUUGCGAAGGCAGCUCACUGGACUGCAACUGACACUGAGGCUCGAAAGUGUGGGUAUCAAACAGGAUUAGAUACCCCAGUAGUC
RNAcentral lists this ribosomal RNA (460 nucleotides) under uncultured bacterium. RNAcentral's name for it is "partial 16S ribosomal RNA". It matches the Rfam family "Bacterial small subunit ribosomal RNA", at positions 338 to 795 of the family's 1533-position model. The record is from RNAcentral.